UACGUAGGGCGCAAGCGUUGUCCGGAUUUAUUGGGCGUAAAGAGCGUGUAGGCGGCCAGAUAGGUCCGUUGUGAAAACUGGAGGCUUAACCUCCAGCGGUCGAUGGAAACCAUCUGGCUAGAGUCCGGAAGAGGAGAGUGGAAUUCCUGGUGUAGCGGUGAAAUGCGCAGAUAUCAGGAAGAACACCCGUGGCGAAGGCGGCUCUCUGGGACGGUACUGACGCUGAGACGCGAAAAGCGUGGGGAGCGAACAGG
This 254-nucleotide ribosomal RNA is filed under the name uncultured bacterium. RNAcentral's name for it is "partial 16S ribosomal RNA". It matches the Rfam family "Bacterial small subunit ribosomal RNA", at positions 524 to 776 of the family's 1533-position model. The record is from RNAcentral.